GAUGAACGCUGACAGAAUGCUUAACACACGCAAGUCGAUUCGAUUUACCUUCGGGUAUUGAGGAUGGCGGACGGGUGAGUAACGCGUAAGGAACUUGCCUCUUGGUCUGGGACAACUGUUGGAAACGACAGCUAAUACCGGAUAUUAUGAGAUUCUCGCAUGGGAAACUUAUGAAAGCUAUAUGCGCCAAGAGAGAGCCUUGCGUUCCAUUAGCUAGUUGGUGGGGUAACGGCCCACCAAGGCGACGAUGGAUAGCCGGCCUGAGAGGGUGAACGGCCACAAGGGGACUGAGACACGGCCCUUACUCCUACGGGAGGCAGCAGUGGGGAAUAUUGGACAAUGGGCCACAAGCCUGAUCCAGCAAUUCUGUGUGCACGAUGAAGGUCUUCGGAUUGUAAAGUGCUUUCAGUUGGGAAGAAGAAAGUGACGGUACCAACAGAAGAAGCGACGGCUAAAUACGUGCCAGCAGCCGCGGUAAUACGUAUGUCGCAAGCGUUAUCCGGAUUUAUUGGGCGUAAAGCGCGUCUAGGCGGAAAAAUAAGUCUGAUGUUAAAAUGCGGGGCUCAACUCCGUAUUGCGUUGGAAACUGUUUUUCUAGAGUACUGGAGAGGUGGGCGGAACUACAAGUGUAGAGGUGAAAUUCGUAGAUAUUUGUAGGAAUGCCGAUGGAGAAGUCAGCUCACUGGACAGAUACUGACGCUAAAGCNCGAAAGCGUGGGGAGCAAACAGG
RNAcentral lists this ribosomal RNA (730 nucleotides) under uncultured prokaryote. RNAcentral describes it as "bacterial SSU rRNA". It matches the Rfam family "Bacterial small subunit ribosomal RNA", at positions 28 to 776 of the family's 1533-position model. The record is from RNAcentral.